Molecule: ribosomal RNA, 119 nt
Filed under: Callithrix jacchus (white-tufted-ear marmoset)
Lineage: Eukaryota; Metazoa; Chordata; Mammalia; Primates; Cebidae
Source: RNAcentral
AGCCACCACCAUACCACGCUGAACACGCCCGAUCUAGUCUGAUCUCGGAAGCAAAGCAGGGUCAGGCCUGGUUAGUAAUUGGAUGGUAGACAAUGCAUAGCCAUCAGAGAUUGCGUCUU